RNAcentral lists this transfer RNA (69 nucleotides) under Apoda limacodes. RNAcentral describes it as "transfer RNA-Val (GUN)". It matches the Rfam family "tRNA". From Rfam's summary of the family: Transfer RNA (tRNA) molecules are approximately 80 nucleotides in length. Their secondary structure includes four short double-helical elements and three loops (D, anti-codon, and T loops). Further hydrogen bonds mediate the characteristic L-shaped molecular structure. tRNAs have two regions of fundamental functional importance: the anti-codon, which is responsible for specific mRNA codon recognition, and the 3' end, to which the tRNAs corresponding amino acid is attached (by aminoacyl-tRNA synthetases). tRNAs cope with the degeneracy of the genetic code in two manners: having more than one tRNA (with a specific anti-codon) for a particular amino acid; and 'wobble' base-pairing, i.e. permitting non-standard base-pairing at the 3rd anti-codon position. The record is from RNAcentral. Lineage: Eukaryota; Metazoa; Arthropoda; Insecta; Lepidoptera; Limacodidae.
CAAAUUAUAGCUUAAUAAAAGCAUUUCAUUUACAUUGAAUAGAUAUUAAAUUUUAUUUAAUUAUUUUGA